RNAcentral lists this ribosomal RNA (253 nucleotides) under uncultured prokaryote. Its description in RNAcentral is "partial 16S ribosomal RNA". It matches the Rfam family "Bacterial small subunit ribosomal RNA", at positions 524 to 776 of the family's 1533-position model. The record is from RNAcentral.
UACGUAGGUGACGAGCGUUAUCCGGAAUUACUGGGCGUAAAGCGCACGCAAGCGGUUGGCCAAGUCUGACGUGAAAUCUCCUGGCUUAACUGGGAGGGGUCGUUGGAAACUGGCGAGCUUGAGGCGAUGAGAGGGAUGCAGAAUUCCUGGUGUAGUGGUGGAAUGCGUAGAGAUCAGGAGGAAUACCUGUGGCGAAAGCGGCAUCCUGGCAUCGUACUGACGCUCAUGUGCGAAAGCGUGGGGAGUGAACGGG